AGUUCGAUCCUGGCUCAGAUUGAACGCUGGCGGGAUGCUUUACAUGCAGUCGAACGGCGGCACGGACUUCGGUCUGGUGGCGAGUGGCGAACGGGUGAGUAAUGUAUCGGAACGUGCCUAGUAGCGGGGGAUAACUACGCGGCGUAGCUAAUACCACAUACGCCCUUCGAGAAAGCGGGGGACCUUCGGGCCUCGCACUGGCUAGAGCGGCCGAUAUCGGAUUAGCUAGUUGGUGGGAUAACGACUCACCAAGGCGACGAUCCGUAGCUGGUUUGAAGGACGACCAGCCACACUGGGACUGAGACACGGCCAGACUCCUACGGGAGGCAGCAGUGGGGAAUUUUGGACAAUGGGGGAAACCUGAUCCAGCCAUCCGCGUGUGCGAUGAAGGCCUUCGGGUUGUAAAGCACUUUUGGCAGGAAAGAAGCAGCCUGGGGAUAAUACCCCGUGCAACUGACGAUACCUGCAGAAUAAGCACCGGCUAACUACGUGCCAGCAGCCGCGGUAUUACGUAGGGUGCAAGCGUUAAUCGGAAUUACUGGGCGUAAAGCGUGCGCAGGCGGUUCGGAAAGAAAGAUGUGAAAUCCCAAGCUUAACUUUGGAACUGCAUUUUUUAACUACCGAGCUAGAGUGUGUCAGAGGAGGUGGAAUUCCGCGUGUAGCAGUGAAAUGCGUAGAUAUGCGGAGAGGAACACCGAUGGCGAAGGCAGCCUCCUGGGAUAACGCGGCGCUCAUGCACGAAAGCGUGGGGGUGAAACAGGAUUAGAUACCCUGGUAGUCCACGCCUAAACGAUGUCAACUAGCUGUUGGGGCCUUCGGGCCUUGGUAGCGCAACUAACGCGUGAAGUUGACCGCCUGGGAUACGGUCGCAAGAUUAAAACUCAAGGAAUUGACGGGGACCGCACAAGCGGUGGAUGAUGGAUUCCCAAUUCGAUACAGCAUGAAAACACCCCUGCCGCCGGCAUGUUACCGGUCGAAGAGGUGGGGUGCUCGCAGAGAACGGAACACAGGUGCUGCAUGGCUGUCGUCAGCUCGUGUCAUGAGAUGUUGGGUUAAGUCCCUAUGUGAGCGCAACCCUUGUCGUGGUUGCUACGAAGGGCACUCUAAUGAGACUGCCGAUGACAAACCAGGAGGAAGGUCAGGGAUGACGUCAAGUCCUCAUGGCCCUUAUGGGUAAGACUUCACGUCAUACAAUGGUCGGGACAGAGGGUCGCCAACCCGCGAGGGGAACAAUCCGAAGCCCGAUCGUCCGGAUCGCAGUCUGCAACUCGACUGCGUGAAGUCGGAAUCGCUAGUAAUCGCGGAUCGGCGCAUGUCGCGGUGAAUACGUUCCCGGGUCUUGUACACACCAUAAUACCAUGGGGUGAGUUUUUACCGAAGUAGUUAGCCUAACCGUAAGGAGGGCGAUUUACUGCAGUAGGAUUCAUGACUGGGGUGAAGUCGUAACAAGAUAA
This 1454-nucleotide ribosomal RNA is filed under the name uncultured Bordetella sp. RNAcentral describes it as "partial 16S-23S ribosomal RNA intergenic spacer". It matches the Rfam family "Bacterial small subunit ribosomal RNA". Lineage: Bacteria; Pseudomonadati; Pseudomonadota; Betaproteobacteria; Burkholderiales; Alcaligenaceae. The record is from RNAcentral.